This 455-nucleotide ribosomal RNA is filed under the name Candidatus Omnitrophota bacterium. RNAcentral describes it as "bacterial SSU rRNA". It matches the Rfam family "Bacterial small subunit ribosomal RNA", at positions 1 to 453 of the family's 1533-position model. Lineage: Bacteria; Pseudomonadati; Candidatus Omnitrophota. The record is from RNAcentral.
CUUUUGGAGAGUUUGAUCCUGGCUCAGAGUGAACGCUGGCGGCGUGGAUUAGGCAUGCAAGUCGAGCGAUCCCGCAAGGGAUAGCGGCAAACGGGUUAGGAACACGUAGAUAAUCUUCCUUAAAUCCUGACAUAGCCCUAUGAAAAUAGGGGUAAUAUCAGAUAAUACCGUUGGAGGGCAUCUUCCGACGUUUAAAGUAGGGGACCGCAAGGCCUUACGAUUUAAGAUGAGUCUGCGUAGCAUCAGCUAGUUGGUAGGGUAACGGCCUACCAAGGCUAAGACGCUUAGCUGGUCUGAGAGGACGACCAGCAACACUGGGACUGAGACACUGCCCAGACUCCUACGGGAGGCUGCAGUCGAGAAUAUUUAGCAAUGGGCGAAAGCCUGACUAUGCGACGCCGCGUGAGGGAUGAAGGAUUUCGGUUCGUAAACCUCUUUUGGCAGGGAAGAAAAUG